This 146-nucleotide non-coding RNA is filed under the name Paraburkholderia tropica. The record is from RNAcentral. Lineage: Bacteria; Pseudomonadati; Pseudomonadota; Betaproteobacteria; Burkholderiales; Burkholderiaceae.
CCUGCUGUACGACCAGCAGUUGCCUACCUAGACGUGCGUGACUGGUAACGGUCGUGUGCGAAGCUCCAGGGACAACGUACUCGUCGAGAGACGUCACCAGUGGCGACAGUGGUGAUGACGCUGCAAGCCGCACUGCGGCGUGGAGA